Molecule: ribosomal RNA, 487 nt
Filed under: uncultured bacterium
Lineage: Bacteria
Description: bacterial SSU rRNA
Rfam family: Bacterial small subunit ribosomal RNA
Source: RNAcentral
AUGAACGCUAGCGACAGGCUUAACACAUGGCAAGUCGAGGGGCAGCGAGGGCGUAGCAAUACGCCUGUCGGCGACCGGCGCACUGGUGAGUAACACGUAUGCGACCUGCCCCCUACAGGGGUAUAACCCGUAGAAAUGCGGACUAAUCCCCCAUAGUCCUGGGUGCUGCAUGGCAUUCAGGGGAAAGGCCAGCCGGUAGGGGAUGGGCAUGCGGCGCAUUAGCUAGUUGGCGGGGCAACGGCCCACCAAGGCGACGAUGCGUAGGGGUUCUGAGAGGAAGGUCCCCCACAUUGGAACUGAGACACGGUCCAAACUCCUACGGGAGGCAGCAGUGAGGAAUAUUGGUCAAUGGACGUAAGUCUGAACCAGCCAAGUAGCGUGCAGGAUGACGGCCCUAUGGGUUGUAAACUGCUUUUAUGCGGGGAUAAAGUGUGGGACGUGUCCCAUAUUGCAGGUACUGCAUGAAUAAGGACCGGCUAAUUCCGUG